Molecule: ribosomal RNA, 492 nt
Filed under: uncultured bacterium
Lineage: Bacteria
Description: partial 16S ribosomal RNA
Rfam family: Bacterial small subunit ribosomal RNA
Source: RNAcentral
AGUGAACGCUGGCGGUAGGCCUAACACAUGCAAGUCGGACGGCAGCACAGUAAGAGCUUGCUCUUACGGGUGGCGAGUGGCGGACGGGUGAGGAAUACAUCGGAAUCUACUUUUUCGUGGGGGAUAACGUAGGGAAACUUACGCUAAUACCGCAUACGACCUACGGGUGAAAGCAGGGGAUCUUCGGACCUUGCGCGAUUGAAUGAGCCGAUGUCGGAUUAGCUAGUUGGCGGGGUAAAGGCCCACCAAGGCGACGAUCCGUAGCUGGUCUGAGAGGAUGAUCAGCCACACUGGAACUGAGACACGGUCCAGACUCCUACGGGAGGCAGCAGUGGGGAAUAUUGGACAAUGGGCGCAAGCCUGAUCCAGCCAUGCCGCGUGGGUGAAGAAGGCCUUCGGGUUGUAAAGCCCUUUUGUUGGGAAAGAAAAGCAGCAGGUUAAUACCCCGCUGUUCUGACGGUACCCAAAGAAUAAGCACCGGCUAACUUCGUG